AUAAUACAUGUUGAACAUAGCUGUUCAAUUAGGUAGAGCAGGCAAAACAGCACAAUUGAUUUGAUUUCAAUUAAACAUUAGUUUACCUGUUUAAACAAUAUUUUUGUACUUCAUUUGCUGCCAAGUCCUCGUGGGGCAACUCGGGGUUGCGUAAAUUGACACACACACACACACACACACACACACACACACACACACACACACACACACACACACACACACACACACACACACACACACACACACACACAAUUUACAUAUUGAAUAAGUGGAAGAUAUUAAACUUUCCUCUUAUUUUAUUUUAUUUUACUAAUUUAUUUGACUCACGCAUUGACUUGUUCAGCUAUUUCCUGCCAAGCUCUCUCUCGCUGCCGCGGCGGUAUUGCUUUUUUUUGUUAAAAUGGGUAACUGCUCCUCGGCAUACACGUUCAUUAGAAUUUCCAAUUCCGUGGGGGAAAAGUAAGUGGAUCUACGCUUUUGGUCCAUGUUUGAUCAUGUUAUCAGAGAUCCAUUGAUGAUGGCUCUUCAUAGUCAACAGGCACGCCCCCAACCCAGAGUGAACAUACUCAGAGUUGAUUAACCCAACGCUGAUCACCUGUUCUGAAACCGAAAACCCAGAGUUGCUUUUCAACCCUGAACUCUGAGUCAACCAACUCAGAGCGCAGGAUUAAACUCAGAGUAUGUUAAACCAGCUACCUGAAACAGGCCUCUGGUCAGUAGCGCAAUGGUAUUCAGAAACGGCAAAAUACCGUUUGCGCCAGAACAUGAUCAAUCCCUAAUUUACCGGCGAGUGGCGGUGGUGGGAAAAGAACGCUCUGCGCCAGUUGUAAACUAGCAACGACACAUGCGCCAGUGACUAAGACACUUGCGCCGGAUGCAAGAUAGGGCCCUAUGUGUUCGAUCCUGCUUCCUAGUGGCUAUGUGGGGGUAAUACAGCUUGUUUGUUCGAUCCUGCUUCCUAGUGGCUAUGUGGGGGUAAUGCAGCUUGUGUGUUCGAUCCUGCUUCCUAGUGGCUAUGUGGGGGUAAUGCAGCUUGUGUGUUCGAUCCUGCUUCCUAGUGGCUAUGUGAGGGUAAUGCAGCUUGUGUGUUCGAUCCUGCUUCCUAGUGGCUAUAUGCGGGGCAGCUUACGUGCUUACAUUUUUUAAUACCCAUUUUAUGGGUCCAAACCGAUCCAAACACCACUUUUUUUCAUGUCCCACCACUGUGGUCUCAAGGUUGAGACGCGU
This 1227-nucleotide long non-coding RNA is filed under the name Gadus morhua (Atlantic cod). Its description in RNAcentral is "lncRNA (ENSGMOG00000023827.1)". Lineage: Eukaryota; Metazoa; Chordata; Actinopteri; Gadiformes; Gadidae. The record is from RNAcentral.